GAAGCACCAAAAUAUGGCGCUAUCAUUUUCAACCAAUGGGCUGGCCGUUUGUAACAGGUUGUAGCAGGCGUCACUGUGGCGGGAACGCGCAUUCAAGACGGGAAAGCGGUUGAGGAGGCAUCGGGAUCGCGCUCAUCUGUUUGGCUGGCAAAUGCCUCCGGUGUAACAGGCCGAUCAUUAUGGGAGAACCAGGAUCCCGAAGCGGGAUGGACCCUGACCCACCGACCGCUGCGCAGAGCUUAUCGAGGCGGUUUAUACCGGGAUAAAACAUUUUGUGUGUCCAAUAGCAAACAGCCAGUCAGUAAGCUACAGAGGAGGUGGUGUUUGCUGGGAUUCAACCUGAGCCAGAGUCGCGGCUGGUAGCUUAACUAGGAGAGAGGGACGAGGAAACUGGGAAGACAGCACUUUACAAUCUAACUGGAUCCUGCUCGAAAUUGCGAGAAUGAUGGAUGAACUGUCGAUUACAAGCUGGUCCGGUCAGCACAACCCUGUCAGAGCAGGGUGGGUUCAUCCGGAGUAAAAUCAGUCGGCUCUUAUCUGUCGGCUUCUCCUCCGCCGGGAGGCGAUGUCCACUUUCUGCCUAGACCUGCAGACGUCCGCCGUGGUUUCAGCACCACAGGAGCUGGACAGCGACUGCAUGGAGCCCCGGGACAGCCCCGCCGCUCAUGAGCCCGGCGGCUUUCAGGGUCACCCGCUGCCGCACGCCGGGUCCGGAGGCCUCGGCAUGGCCUUGGAGGAGGAACUGGCCAUGCUUACCGGGGACCGGGACGACGAGGAGGAGCUGUCGGACCUAGAGACGCCUGCGGUGGGGCAUAACGCAGACUUGCUGUCGCUCUUCCGUCAAAAGGAAAAAGACUUGGUUUUAGCUGCUAAACUCGGCAAAGCGCUGCUGGAGAGAAACCAAGACUUGACCAAGCAAUAUGAGAAAAUGCACAAAGAUCUCAACGAGAAAUUAGAGCACUUGGAGCAGGAGAAGCAUGAGUUGCGUAGGCGUCUGGAAAGUCGAGAGGGGGAGUGGGAGGGCCGUGUUGCCGAGCUGGAGACGGACGUCCAGCAGCUGCAGGGUGAGCUGGAGCGGCAUCAGGUCCAGCUGAGAGAGGCUGACAGAGACAAGACCAAGUCCAUCAGCGAGCUCUCCGAACAGAACCAUAGACUGCUGGAGCAACUCAGUAGGGCUGCAGACGUGGAAAGGCAGUUGUCCACUCAGGUCCAUUCAUUACGGGAUGACUUCAGGGAGAAGAGUAUGUCUACAAGCCAGCACAUGACUCGACUAGAGACUCUACAGGCUGAGCAAGGGCUAGAAAUUAAGAUGCUGUCGGAGAGGAAGAUGGAGCUGGAGCGCCGCGUGAACGCCAUGCUGGAGGAGAAUGAGCUGCUGCAAAAUACAGUGGAGGACCUCCGAGAGAGGACGCUGGUGUUGGAGAGGCAGUCUCACACGAAGGACCUACAGUUACGGCAGAGCCAGCUUGAGCUUCAGGAGGUUCAGAUGUCCCACAGACAGCUGACUGCUCAGCUGGAGGAGCUGACGGAGGAGCACAGCCUCCAUGGCCUCACCCCGCACCCGUCCAGCUUGCUGUGUGAGAUAGAACAGAGCAUGGAGCAGGAGGAGCAGGAGCAGGAGAGAGAGCAGCUGCGUCUUCAGCUAUGGGAGGCCUACUGUGAAGUUCGCUCGCUCUGCUCCCAUCUCCGGGGAAAUGACGUCACAGAUUCGGCGCUGUCCACUGACUCUUCCAUGGACGAGUCCUCCGAGACGUCCUCAGCCAAGGAUGUGCCUACUGGGAGCCUCCACACCAGCCUGCUAGAGCUACGGAGGCUCACACAGAAUCUGCUGGAUGGCAACGAGUCCACGGGCUCGCCGCGCAGUGAUGAGGAGGCUCUGGAGGAGCAGACGAGGAAGCUAGGAGAGGAGCUGAGGGAAGUCAGAGAGCUGUACGAAGCUGAGCAGGACAAAACACGCAGCAAUGAAGACAAGGUGCUGCAGCUGCACAAUCAGAUGGCGCUGCUCUCUGUAGAGAUGUGCUCUCUCCGGGAGGACAACGAGCGAAUGAGGACAAUGGCUGAAGUCCGAGAACCCAGCGAGCAGCUCCAGACUGCUAUCAGAGACAGAGACGACGCCAUAACCAAGAAGAAAGCAGUGGAGAUGGAGCUGGCCAAGUGUAAAAUAGACAUCAUGUCUCUGAAUAGCCAGCUCCUGGACGCCAUCCAGCAGAAGCUCAACUUGUCGCAGCAGCUGGAGGCUUGGCAGUUUGCCUCCUCAGGGCUCUUUACUGUUUGGCUCUUGUGGUUUCUGAUCUAGUGGCCUUUCUCAGCUUCCGUACCACCCUUUCUCCCCUGUGGUACCCCCCCCUCCUGCCUUAGAGGAUGAUAUGCACAGAGUGAUUGACCAGCAGUUGAUGGACAAGUACCAGGACGAGUGGCGCUCGGCCCCUAACUCCCUGCCAGGGUCGUCCAGGGCCCAUGGCGGUCAGUCCUCCAGACGAGCUCAUCGCAUCUCCGACCGGGACAAGAGACUUUUCUCUUUUUUCAAAAAGAACUGAGCCUCAUUGGAGCACAGCAGACAGAAAGAGACAGACGAGGCCAGGGACAAGGAGGGAGUGACAUCACAGUAUCGGUGUAACAACACAGCCAAAGACGGGCAGUGGCACACACUGAGGUUUGGAUGGGGGGGGGGGGUCAUUUUGCACUUUAUCUGUCCCAUUACUCUUCUCUUUGCUGAUUAAUUGGUGACUGCUGACAAUGAGAGACUGACUAAAAAUAGGACUUCCCCAGAGGCUUUGGCUUCAGCCCCUCUCAUAGAAAGCUAUCGGUCUUACAGAACAUGAACAGGGUCACAAAGUUUACCUCCAAAGAGGAAGGUUUCCUUGUAGUGCCUACAACCAUCUCUACUAGCCCACUGCCAACUCUGUAGAGGGGGAACACUAUGUACAAACUGUUACUGUAUGCAUCCCAGUUAUCAGGCCAAGCAGUCUGGGGAACGACAGGUGGAUGUGUGGGACAUUGCAGGAUUGUAGGAAAAGGUGUAGAUAGCAGGACAGAGCUGUACAUCAGAAUAUGAUGAUGCAGCCAGCCCACAUGAGAUCUCUCAGGUUUAUUCAUUUGUUCAGGGGAUGUUCACAACAUGAAGCAACAGAGCUUGAUGCAUCAGUACCAUAGUGUGCUCUAUAUCUGACAAAACAAAUGACAAAAAGAGUGCUUAUUUUGUUAUUGACAGCAGUGCAGGUGAGCAUAUUGCCCCAGGCCCAAACUUCCAAUCAAAGUGAGAUAAAAAAAAAACUUUAAAGGGUUACAUAAAUGAUUACAUUUUCAAGUUUGGGGACUUGCAAUAGAUAUAUUAAAGCUGCAUUUAUCAAUAUUUUUAUAUAAACAAUGUGUAGUGUGAAAAGAGCCAUUCAUAGUCAAACCAACCAGUGAAUUAUCACCCAACUCUGCAGUUUCCCCUCAGCUCUACGGAGUGUUUUAACCUUUUUUUAGCUGAUUGUUUUGGUUUUACGACCCUUUUGGUUUCCCCCUUUUUGUUGGCAGCAGACAGCUGUUUUCAGCAAAAAGCUCUAAUAAACUGAUUGCACUCUACCUGCUCAGCACCAAACCGCCUCAGACACAGUGGACAUCCAGCUGGUGAACAUAGAGGAACAUUUAGCAGCUAAAAAGGCAGAGAUUGGAUAGAGACCAAAACAGCCACAGUAGAAGAAGAGUAAAUAUUGGCCUUAGAACGUGGUGGGUGGCAAGAAACACGACUCCCAAUUAUUGCUAAGGUUACACCGUGCCUGCUGGAUGUGUGAACAACUGGUGGCUAACAUUUGCUAAACAACUUUAAAAAGGGGAUUAUAUGCAUAUGUCUUUGCAGCUAGUUCCUUAAGCCUAAAAAAUAAUCAAUUUGUGCAGCUUUAAUGAAUGAAUGAAUGAAUGAAUGUUAAAAUUCAAAGCAGCAGAAGCAGAGACUUUUAGUCCCUAAUAUGGAAUCCCAAAACACUGGAUCCUACCUUUACCACAAUGCAACCAAUACUCUUUUUUUUCAUCAGACCAUUUCUGC
RNA transcript from Sander lucioperca (pikeperch), 4030 nucleotides. It is a transcript of the gene named BICD family like cargo adaptor 1, with no coding region annotated. Lineage: Eukaryota; Metazoa; Chordata; Actinopteri; Perciformes; Percidae. The transcript has 12 exons. The record is from RefSeq and is a predicted model, not a curated record.